RNAcentral lists this ribosomal RNA (2925 nucleotides) under Salmonella enterica. RNAcentral describes it as "23S ribosomal RNA". It matches the Rfam family "Bacterial large subunit ribosomal RNA". Lineage: Bacteria; Pseudomonadati; Pseudomonadota; Gammaproteobacteria; Enterobacterales; Enterobacteriaceae. RNAcentral also lists the same sequence under 3 other names. The record is from RNAcentral.
GGGUUGUGAGGUUAAGCGACUAAGCGUACACGGUGGAUGCCCUGGCAGUCAGAGGCGAUGAAGGGCGUGCUAAUCUGCGAUAAGCGCCGGUAAGGUGAUAUGAACCGUUAUAACCGGCGAUACCCGAAUGGGGAAACCCAGUGUGAUUCGUCACACUAUCAUUAACUGAAUCCAUAGGUUAAUGAGGCGAACCGGGGGAACUGAAACAUCUAAGUACCCCGAGGAAAAGAAAUCAACCGAGAUUCCCCCAGUAGCGGCGAGCGAACGGGGAGGAGCCCAGAGCCUGAAUCAGCAUGUGUGUUAGUGGAAGCGUCUGGAAAGGCGCGCGAUACAGGGUGACAGCCCCGUACACAAAAGCGCAUGUGCUGUGAGCUCGAUGAGUAGGGCGGGACACGUGGUAUCCUGUCUGAAUAUGGGGGGACCAUCCUCCAAGGCUAAAUACUCCUGACUGACCGAUAGUGAACCAGUACCGUGAGGGAAAGGCGAAAAGAACCCCGGCGAGGGGAGUGAAAAAGAACCUGAAACCGUGUACGUACAAGCAGUGGGAGCACCCUUUGGGUGUGACUGCGUACCUUUUGUAUAAUGGGUCAGCGACUUAUAUUCUGUAGCAAGGUUAACCGAAUAGGGGAGCCGGAGGGAAACCGAGUCUUAACCGGGCGUUAAGUUGCAGGGUAUAGACCCGAAACCCGGUGAUCUAGCCAUGGGCAGGUUGAAGGUUGGGUAACACUAACUGGAGGACCGAACCGACUAAUGUUGAAAAAUUAGCGGAUGACCUGUGGCUGGGGGUGAAAGGCCAAUCAAACCGGGAGAUAGCUGGUUCUCCCCGAAAGCUAUUUAGGUAGCGCCUCGUGAAUUCAUCUCCGGGGGUAGAGCACUGUUUCGGCUAGGGGGCCAUCCCGGCUUACCAACCCGAUGCAAACUGCGAAUACCGGAGAAUGUUAUCACGGGAGACACACGGCGGGUGCUAACGUCCGUCGUGAAGAGGGAAACAACCCAGACCGCCAGCUAAGGUCCCAAAGUCAUGGUUAAGUGGGAAACGAUGUGGGAAGGCCCAGACAGCCAGGAUGUUGGCUUAGAAGCAGCCAUCAUUUAAAGAAAGCGUAAUAGCUCACUGGUCGAGUCGGCCUGCGCGGAAGAUGUAACGGGGCUAAACCAUGCACCGAAGCUGCGGCAGCGACACUGUGUGUUGUUGGGUAGGGGAGCGUUCUGUAAGCCUGCGAAGGUGGCCUGUGAGGGUUGCUGGAGGUAUCAGAAGUGCGAAUGCUGACAUAAGUAACGAUAAAGCGGGUGAAAAGCCCGCUCGCCGGAAGACCAAGGGUUCCUGUCCAACGUUAAUCGGGGCAGGGUGAGUCGACCCCUAAGGCGAGGCCGAAAGGCGUAGUCGAUGGGAAACGGGUUAAUAUUCCCGUACUUGGUGUUACUGCGAAGGGGGGACGGAGAAGGCUAUGUUGGCCGGGCGACGGUUGUCCCGGUUUAAGCGUGUAGGUGUGUGUUCCAGGUAAAUCCGGUUCACUUUAACACUGAGGCGUGACGACGAGGCACUACGGUGCUGAAGCAACAAAUGCCCUGCUUCCAGGAAAAGCCUCUAAGCAUCAGGUAACAUCAAAUCGUACCCCAAACCGACACAGGUGGUCAGGUAGAGAAUACCAAGGCGCUUGAGAGAACUCGGGUGAAGGAACUAGGCAAAAUGGUGCCGUAACUUCGGGAGAAGGCACGCUGACACGUAGGUGAAGUGAUUUACUCAUGGAGCUGAAGUCAGUCGAAGAUACCAGCUGGCUGCAACUGUUUAUUAAAAACACAGCACUGUGCAAACACGAAAGUGGACGUAUACGGUGUGACGCCUGCCCGGUGCCGGAAGGUUAAUUGAUGGGGUCAGCGCAAGCGAAGCUCCUGAUCGAAGCCCCGGUAAACGGCGGCCGUAACUAUAACGGUCCUAAGGUAGCGAAAUUCCUUGUCGGGUAAGUUCCGACCUGCACGAAUGGCGUAAUGAUGGCCAGGCUGUCUCCACCCGAGACUCAGUGAAAUUGAACUCGCUGUGAAGAUGCAGUGUACCCGCGGCAAGACGGAAAGACCCCGUGAACCUUUACUAUAGCUUGACACUGAACAUUGAGCCUUGAUGUGUAGGAUAGGUGGGAGGCUUUGAAGUGUGGACGCCAGUCUGCAUGGAGCCGACCUUGAAAUACCACCCUUUAAUGUUUGAUGUUCUAACGUGGACCCGUUACCCGGGUUGCGGACAGUGUCUGGUGGGUAGUUUGACUGGGGCGGUCUCCUCCUAAAGAGUAACGGAGGAGCACGAAGGUUGGCUAAUCCUGGUCGGACAUCAGGAGGUUAGUGCAAUGGCAUAAGCCAGCUUGACUGCGAGCGUGACGGCGCGAGCAGGUGCGAAAGCAGGUCAUAGUGAUCCGGUGGUUCUGAAUGGAAGGGCCAUCGCUCAACGGAUAAAAGGUACUCCGGGGAUAACAGGCUGAUACCGCCCAAGAGUUCAUAUCGACGGCGGUGUUUGGCACCUCGAUGUCGGCUCAUCACAUCCUGGGGCUGAAGUAGGUCCCAAGGGUAUGGCUGUUCGCCAUUUAAAGUGGUACGCGAGCUGGGUUUAGAACGUCGUGAGACAGUUCGGUCCCUAUCUGCCGUGGGCGCUGGAGAACUGAGGGGGGCUGCUCCUAGUACGAGAGGACCGGAGUGGACGCAUCACUGGUGUUCGGGUUGUCAUGCCAAUGGCACUGCCCGGUAGCUAAAUGCGGAAGAGAUAAGUGCUGAAAGCAUCUAAGCACGAAACUUGCCCCGAGAUGAGUUCUCCCUGAGACUUAGAGUCUCCUGAAGGAACGUUGAAGACGACGACGUUGAUAGGCCGGGUGUGUAAGCGCAGCGAUGCGUUGAGCUAACCGGUACUAAUGAACCGUGAGGCUUAACCUUACAACGCCGAAG